Molecule: ribosomal RNA, 533 nt
Filed under: uncultured cyanobacterium
Lineage: Bacteria; Bacillati; Cyanobacteriota
Description: bacterial SSU rRNA
Rfam family: Bacterial small subunit ribosomal RNA
Source: RNAcentral
GAACGGAACUUCGGGUUUACUGGCGGACGGGUGAGUAACGCGUGAGAAUCUGCCUCUAGGUCGGGGACAACAACUGGAAACGGUUGCUAAUACCCGAUGUGCAGCAAUGUGAAAGAUUUAUUGCCUAGAGAUGAGCUCGCGUCUGAUUAGCUAGUAGGUGUGGUAAUGGCGCACCUAGGCGACGAUCAGUAACUGGUCUGAGAGGAUGACCAGUCACACUGGGACUGAGACACGGCCCAGACUCCUACGGGAGGCAGCAGUGGGGAAUUUUCCGCAAUGGGCGAAAGCCUGACGGAGCAAUACCGCGUGAGGGAGGAAGGCUCUUGGGUUGUAAACCUCUUUUCUUAGGGAAGAAGCUCUGACGGUACCUAAGGAAUAGGCAUCGGCUAACUCCGUGCCAGCAGCCGCGGUAAUACGGAGGAUGCAAGCGUUAUCCGGAAUCAUUGGGCGUAAAGCGUCCGUAGGUGGCAGUUCAAGUCUGCUGUUAAAGGCUGGGGCUUAUCCCCAGACAGGCAGUGGAAACUGAACAGCUA